UGAGGAAUAUUGGGCAAUGGAGGCAACUCUGACCCAGCCAUGCCGCGUGAGUGAAGAAGGUUUUCGGAUUGUAAAGCUCUUUCGCACGGGACGAUGAUGACGGUACCGUGAUAAGAAGCCCCGGCUAACUUCGUGCCAGCAGCCGCGGUAAUACGAAGGGGGCGAAGCGUUGUUCGGAAUUACUGGGCGUGAAAGGGAGUGUAGGCGGUUAUGUAAGAUAGCGGUGAAAUGCCGGGGCUCAACCUCGGAAUUGCCGUUAUAACUAUGUAACUAGAAUGAUAGAGAGGAUAGCGGAAUACCCAGUGUAGAGGUGAAAUUCGUAGAUAUUGGGUAGAACACCGGUGGCGAAGGCGGCUAUCUGGCUAUAAAUUGACGCUGAGGCUCGAAAGCAUGGGGAUCAAACAGGAUUAGAUACCC
This 417-nucleotide ribosomal RNA is filed under the name uncultured bacterium. RNAcentral describes it as "bacterial SSU rRNA". It matches the Rfam family "Bacterial small subunit ribosomal RNA", at positions 355 to 787 of the family's 1533-position model. The record is from RNAcentral.